CAUUCUACAAAUAUUCCAUGAGGUUGUUUUCCAUAUUGGCUCCCUGGAAAGCCUUAGAAAUUCUCAAGAAGUCUUGGCUACUGAUUCCAGAUAUCCGUGUCAAGCUCUUCCUCUUGUUGACUGGAACACAGAAAAUUACUAUCAUCUGCACCACCCCACCCUACCUUUAUCUGUAAAAUAAUUGCUAUAUUUUUAUGAUGCCAUUGUAAUCAACCAACUGUAUCACUUUUUAAAAUUGUAUCUGAGGCUAAAUAUAAUUUACUGCCUAAAAUUUAAAUAUAUUA
Molecule: long non-coding RNA, 284 nt
Organism: Homo sapiens (human)
Lineage: Eukaryota; Metazoa; Chordata; Mammalia; Primates; Hominidae
Source: Ensembl